This 77-nucleotide transfer RNA is filed under the name marine bacterium B5-7. RNAcentral describes it as "tRNA-Pro". It matches the Rfam family "tRNA". From Rfam's summary of the family: Transfer RNA (tRNA) molecules are approximately 80 nucleotides in length. Their secondary structure includes four short double-helical elements and three loops (D, anti-codon, and T loops). The record is from RNAcentral. Lineage: Bacteria; Pseudomonadati; Pseudomonadota; Gammaproteobacteria.
CGGGGUGUAGCUCAGCUUGGUAGAGCACCACGUUCGGGACGUGGGGGUCGGAGGUUCAAAUCCUCUCACCCCGACCA